This 661-nucleotide ribosomal RNA is filed under the name uncultured Bacilli bacterium. Its description in RNAcentral is "bacterial SSU rRNA". It matches the Rfam family "Bacterial small subunit ribosomal RNA", at positions 76 to 724 of the family's 1533-position model. Lineage: Bacteria; Bacillati; Bacillota; Bacilli. The record is from RNAcentral.
GAGCUUGCUCUUCUGGAUGAGUUGCGAACGGGUGAGUAACGCGUAGGUAACCUGCCUGGUAGCGGGGGAUAACUAUUGGAAACGAUAGCUAAUACCGCAUAAUAGUAGAUGUUGCAUGACAUUUGCUUAAAAGGUGCAAUUGCAUCACUACCAGAUGGACCUGCGUUGUAUUAGCUAGUUGGUGGGGUAACGGCUCACCAAGGCGACGAUACAUAGCCGACCUGAGAGGGUGAUCGGCCACACUGGGACUGAGACACGGCCCAGACUCCUACGGGAGGCAGCAGUAGGGAAUCUUCGGCAAUGGACGGAAGUCUGACCGAGCAACGCCGCGUGAGUGAAGAAGGUUUUCGGAUCGUAAAGCUCUGUUGUAAGAGAAGAACGAGUGUGAGAGUGGAAAGUUCACACUGUGACGGUAUCUUACCAGAAAGGGACGGCUAACUACGUGCCAGCAGCCGCGGUAAUACGUAGGUCCCGAGCGUUGUCCGGAUUUAUUGGGCGUAAAGCGAGCGCAGGCGGUUAGAUAAGUCUGAAGUUAAAGGCUGUGGCUUAACCAUAGUACGCUUUGGAAACUGUUUAACUUGAGUGCAAGAGGGGAGAGUGGAAUUCCAUGUAUAGCGGUGAAAUGCGUAGAUAUAUGGAGGAACACCGGUGGCGAAAGCGG